RNAcentral lists this long non-coding RNA (7425 nucleotides) under Lactuca sativa (garden lettuce). RNAcentral describes it as "long non-coding RNA (LSAT_LNC001908)". Lineage: Eukaryota; Viridiplantae; Streptophyta; Magnoliopsida; Asterales; Asteraceae. The record is from RNAcentral.
UUUCGUCCAUGGCCUUAUCCAGAAGGUUCCAUGGGCUGCUUAGAGUUUAAGUUGUCCAUUAGGGUUUUGACUGAAACCCUAGCAGCCCACACAAGUAUAUAAAGGACCCCUUAGGCCCCAAAAACGUGGAAAACUGAUUCUCUAGGGUUUCUAGUCGUUUUUGGCAGCCUCCUUUCUUCUCCUCUUCAUCCAAGUUGUAUAUGGUGUUUGUGACUCCAUUAGAGGUGCAGCACUUGAGGCACUAAGCUUUCUAAGGCCAAUCCAAGCAAGGAAUUGAUUGUUAUUGCUAUAUAACAAUCAAAGGUAAUUCUCUAAACCCUAAUUCAGUUUAUAAUAUGUUAGAUCUAAGUUUAUUAGUCUUGGAUUCAAAGCAUGUACAAUAGAGAAACCUAGAUCCAAGCAUUAGGGUUUGUAUAAGCACAUAUGAUUGUUUCUUAUGCAUAAAACCCAUCAGUGGUAUCAUAGCCUUGAUUGGUUUCAGUUGUAUGUGAUGCUUAACUGUUUUGUUUACUAAAAAUCGAGUUUUUGGCCUCUGAUCGACUCAACUCGGCAAGUCAGUAUCUGGACUCGGUGAGCUGGCCCCUACUCGGCGAGUUCAGAGCUGACUCGGCGAGUUCGAGCGUCAGACAGAGGGUAUUUCGGGAUUUAGCUGUUGUUUUGACUUGGAUUUAAUGCCUAAUUCGUUUUUUGAAGUUAAAAUCCGAUUUUUAUCUUAAAUUAAUGAUUAUCCUUGCCAAAACAAUAGAUAAUUUCAAAUCUUUUGAAUAUUGGUUGUUUAUGUGAUAAAUAUGGAUUAUUUAAAGUUAUUUGGUAAUUAUCUAAUGACUAAAAUAAGAUUANAUUAGGUCAAAUAUAGAUAAUCCCUAAAUUAAUUGUUUGAUUUGUAUUAUUUGUUAUUUGAUCCCUAGUAAGUUUGAAUAGUUUCAAUUUACUCCCUUUAGGUUUUAUAGUUUAAAUUAUAACUUAAAAGUUUUGUUUUUGAAAUUUAAAUAGGUAAACUCUAAUGUUUUGAAAUGUUUCAAAACUUGCCCUCAAGUUUUGGAAUUUAAAAGUUGAUUAAAAGUUUAAUUUUGAAAUGUUAAAUUCUAAAGCCCUAAUAAUUUGAAAAGUUCAAAUCACACCCUUAUGGUUUUAUUAAUUAAUUAAAGUGUAUAAUUAAAAGUGAUUUAAUAAAUCCAUAAAGUUUUGGUUUACAUUUAAUUAAAUUAAAAGUAUAAUUUUACUAAAUUAAACCACCUAGUAUUUUAAAAGUGUAAAAUACACCCUAUACUAUAUAUAACAUUAAAAGUCUAAUAUUAUAUAUAUAUGAGUAAACAGUCAGUCUUACCGUUAGUAGGCCUCAUUCACGAAGCUGGUCUAUAAGGGGUGUUUAAGGAAAUUGCCUAUAAAAUGGCGAUUGAAUGGGUAUCCACUCUUACCCACCGCACUCUUGACUAGUGGAGGGUCGUUAGCCGAACGGGUAGGAUAGGACAGAAACCUUCCAUUAUAAGUAUAAUGAAGUACAAAGUAACUAAAUGCUUUUUCAAAUUCCCAAAUCAUAGUUACUUUAGGAAAAAUGUGAAAUUGUAUGCUAAUCCAUGGAAUUACACUUCGUACCCUUGUCAAACGUUAGUGGAGCGUGUGUGGUUAACCGGCACACUAAUUUGGGGAUGACAUUGGUGGCGAAGGGUGGCUCGAUGCUUAUCAUAGAUCAAUGGAGCGUGUGUGGCUAACCGGCACAUUGAUUAGGUGAUAGUAGCAUUGGGUGCACCACGUGAUUCGUAUGGUUAUUCACACCUUGUUUGUGAUCCUCGGCAUCCCAGUCACAAAUAGUAGGGCAUAAUCGAGAUUAAACAUGCCAUUGAAAAGUUCAAUGAAUCUCAAAAGAUCUAGGAGUUUCAAUUCAUUUAAAACUUAAUCUUCCUUUUCGUUUUUCAUGGUGGAAAUUGGUAAAUCGUCAUUUACCUACCUUCAAAUAUUCUGCAACUAGAUUACGGCAUCCCUCUUCUAGGUUGUAGAGUAUUGUGUUGGAUCCUAGCUUGAUGUUUCAUUUGGGUGUUACAUCAAGAAUUCUAAUCAACAUAACUUGAAUUUUCUCCCGUUUUGUAGAUGUCUGAAUCUUACAAUGGUCUUCCCAAAUCCUUUGGAACAAGCUUUCCAAAUGAAGAUGACGUUCCGAGAUACGAUCAAGGAAAUGAGAGUCAUGCUUCACUUCCUCCACCUCCUCCAAUUGUUCUCCCUGACCCACAAGUUCAAAGGCUUGAAAAGUUCAAGCUCACUCAAGCCCUUUUGGCAAGUAAACACGAAGAUGGGAAACCUGUGUGUGCACACGUCUUAGAGAUGAAGUCACACAUUGAUAGGUUAAGCAUGUUGGGUGUCGAGAUUUCAAGCGAGUUGGCUGUUGACUGGGUUCUUCAGUCACUUCCUGAAUCAUAUAGUGAGUUCGUUAGAGAGUACUAUAUGAUGGACCACGACGUGACCCUAAUUGAUCUCACCUAUUUGCUUAUAGCUGCUGAAUCAGCAAUGAUUUGGCGUGCUGGUCAAGCAAAUUUGUCUGGUGAAUCAAACUCCCAAACUUCAAUGGACACUGGCAACAUUGGAAGUCCAGAAAGAACUAAGUCUGUGAUUGUCCGAUGUGCUGUGCCAAAGGAGUCCAUUUGCUUUUAUUGCCAAGAGAAGGGGCAUUGGAGACGAAGCUGCCCUAACUACCUGAGAGAUCUAAGAGAUGGGAGAGUCAAGACGUAUGGCUCUGCUUCAGGUAAAAUCCAUUAUCUAACUCUUUUGAGUUCCUAUUCUAGAUUCUUAAUACAUGAUGUGAUAAGAUUACAUUUUGAUGUUUUGUAGGAUCGAAGAAAAGAGAGGAAGCUUGAGGGAAGAAGUGAGCUGAAUCUAAUCAUGAAGAAAUGGAUUUCGAUCGCAUUACUUGAAGAAUGGAUUCUUGAGCUACUACUUGGAGUUAGAAUAGAUUGUUAAGAAAUAUGUAAUAACAUAGUUUUUCAAUUGAAUUGCAUUGUAAGGACAAAUUUUUUCCGCAAUAAAAUGAAUUUUGAUUUUAUCUUAUUUAUUUAUCCUUGCAAUGGCAUGUAUGAAAAAUUGAUGUUUGAAUGUUUCUAUUAUUAGCAAUAAUGGAUUUGAUUCUUAAUUGUGUUAUUUGUGGAAAUGUCAAAAGUUUACCAAAUAGGGAGAGUUUCUCAUCGCCCAAGUUUCAAUUGGACAGAAACUUGGAAUCAUGCAAUGUGUAUUGUAUGAUGAAUGAAAAACUUUCACAUUUGGGAAACUUAGACUAAUUCUUUGACAAAGUGUCAAUUGAAGGACUAGGAGAUUGAGUACACUAGGUCGUACGUUUAUCAAGUCUACCAUAAGAGUGACAAGGAUAUUCGUCAUGAUUUACUAAAGUUUAGUAAAUAUGGUUAUACUUGUAAGAUUAAGUGUAAUUAUGAGUUUAUUGAAAGGGUUUCAAUGAAUAGUAGAACGAAUAAAGAAGAAUCAAGAAGGCAGAAAGAUAAAAGUUUCUCUUUUCUAAGAAGAAGGGAGAGUACCUUUUAUUGUGUUUUAUGAUAAGUCUUAAAGAUUAAGAACCAUGUCUCAAUAGAUCCUCUAAGUGAGUCUUAGUGCAAUUGCAUGUCUAAGAAGAGGAAUCAAGUAUUGUAGAAAUGGUUAAAUCAAUAAGUCAAUCAUACUUCGUUCCAAUAUCAAGUCUUAGAGUCAAGAUUGUGACAUUGAGUGAAAAGUCUUAAGUAGGUUUAUAACACUCAUCAAAUGUGGAAUUUGGAAAAGUUUUCUUAUUCUUGCACAUUUGAAAUUGGUAAGUUGUGUUGUCUUGGAUAAGACAAAGACCAACUAGGACCAAUUAUGUGAAGUGUUUUGUCUUGAUAAGAACUACACUAACUCUUGAAUAUUUGCUUUGUCAAGAAAUGUUUCUUGACAAGAGAAUCUUAUAUGUCAAGAAAUCAGUAGGAGUCUUAAUGGUCUUGAAAGCUUUCAAGAACAAAUCAAGAAUAAACUUUAUCGAUCAUCACUAGCACAUGACUUGAGGUUUACAACCUAUCGUGUUGACAUUUUUUGUUUCUGUGCCAUUCCAAUUGAGUUAAUUGCAUACGUGAGUUCUAUGAGUUCUCAUUUGAAUGCAUACUAGAGCCUUAGUCGAUGGAAAGUACAUUGAUAUGUAAGGACAAGUUACUAAACUACUUGGAAGACAUGGUGGGCACUCGUGUUACCAUAAGGCAAGAAAUCAAGAUUAAGAAAGUUCAGUCCAUAUGAGUUUGGAUUUGUCGCAAACCUUGGUUUUGGCAAAUUCACAUGGAUAGGAACUCAUACACCAUAAAAUCUAAGUGUCAUAAGAUUCCCUCCUUCAUGAAAAUGACUGUGAGGAAAUGCUUUCACUAAGAGAGAUUUUAAGAAGAUAGCAAUUGUGAAAAUUGUAUUCUCAAAUUCGAUUAUGGUUACGGCAUCCCUUUCCAUAGUUCGAAUUGUGAGAUUUGGCAAUUAGUUUGAACAUUUGGAACUUAGUAACAUAAGUUCUAAAUUGUUUAAACACACAUAUGAGCUAUCUAAGGCAAAGGUGUAUAAGUUUAAGAAGCUUAGAUAAAGGCUUAUCGAAGCAUCUGGUAUUAGAAAUAUGAAUUUCAGAAAUUCAAUAGGCAUUGUUUUCUGAAAGUUCAUUUGUUUUCUGAAUACAUGUCAAAGCUAGUGGGAGCAUAAGUGUUAUGCUUAUAUGAUAAUAAUCAUCAUGAUAGUGGGAGCAUAAGUGUUAUGCUUGUAUGAUUAUUAUGGCGAGUAUUGCAAGUUAGCAAUAUUAAUUAUAGAAAAACAAAGAUUCAAUUUGCAAAGUUGCAUGGGUUGAAAAGUUGUUUUAAUAUAAUUAAGGGAGAGAAUAUUAUACUUCGUUUCAAAAUCUAAAGCUUAGAUUGAGAAAUUUUAAUAUUUUCAGUCAAAGGAUACAUUGUGUGUUCUUAAAAUUCGAUUAUGAUUACGGCAUCCCUCUUCAUAGUUCGAAUUGUGAGAACAUGACACAUAAAAUAUUAUGGCAAAAGAUUGGUAAAGUAUCAUAUCUUUAUGUAAGACAUUAUGCAUCGUGUCCCAUACGCUUCGGGUAUAGGAUCGAUUGCAAAUGCUAUAAUAUUUUACCAUUCUAAAAUUUUCCAAAUGUCUAGCGCAUUAAGAGGGAAAAAGGACUAGAAUUGGUUUUGACUAAAAUAAUUAAACAACUAUCAAAGGACGAUCCAAAGUUCGCUGAGGAUUGGUCGCUUGUGAGUAGUUGGAAGUAUGGUAUUGGAUGGACCAUAUCGACAUUAUUAUGAAUAGAUAAGAUUCUAUUAAGAAUGAGUUGUCAUAUGGCAAAUGUGGAAAUGUUUCCAUAUUGGGAGUUGGAUAUUGAGAUUCUAUGCCUAGAUUAGAAACUUUUAUGCAGGAAGGAUGUUCAAAUGAAUGUACUUUGAAUGUGAGACUUCACGUCUAUGGAAUUGUCUUGUAACAAUGUCCGAUAGAGUACUUCAUAAUUUCAUUAGCCAAGUCUUGGUGACUUUUGUGCUAUGACUUUAUGAAAGGAUCGUUGCAUAAGAUGUUAGAAUCUAGCAUAUUCUAAUAGUAGCAAAGAACCUUGUGUUCUUACACUAAUGAUAAGGAUUGGGAAUUGUGAAAUGAGCAUCAUUGAAAAGGUUUUUCAAUUGAUCUAUUUCACAAAGUAAGGACCAUAGGAAACAUAGUGUGCAUGCUUUAUGCAUGGGACAGCUAUUGUUGUAAUUUAAGUAAUAAGUUGAUUUUCUGAAACAGUAAACGAUAAUAAUGAGUAAUCAAUAUGGUGGUUAAAUAGAAGUGUUUUAUUUACUCUCACAAGUUUGAGGCCAUAUAGGAUUAAGUAUUAUUGUUAUGUUUCAAUUUGCAUGUUUUGACUUCCAGAAUAACUAGGUUAUUCAAACAUCCACAGUCGGUCAUACGUUGGGAGUAGGUAUGAAUAAAGACUGUCAUGAAUCUGUCUGUAGAUUGUCUGAAGUGUUUAGACAUAGCACAAGUUUGCUGCAGAGUUCAUGAGUGCUUUGAUAAGAUUAGAGUAUUGGAUUAAACCCACGCUCACUUGGAUCACUUCAUGGUUUUAUCACGAGUGAUUAGUGAGACGAUAAUAUUGUAUAUUCUUGAAACCGAGACGUGUGAGUUGUUAUUUGUUGGUCGGUUGCACAUUGAUAAUAAGUAAACGCACCAGUAACUUGGUGUUAUAAAACUUAUUGUUGUGUGUGAUUCGAUCAGUAAAUGCAAGCGAGCAUUUGAGUCGAAGUUUAUCCAUUCCUUUUACCCAAAGUGGGAUAAAAGCGAUAUCUGUGGGCCUCUCGAUGAUUUAGUGAUGACACCUAAGCGCUUGGCCAAGCCGGGACUAAGUUGAUGUGUUCAAUUGUAGUCUGUUAUCAGUCGUCAUAAAUCGGAAGUCGGGAAACAGUAUAGAGAGAAUGAUUGAAAUUCAUGUCUUUUGUCUAUACGAUAUCUUGAGAAUGGAGGAAUAUAUAAUCCCUUAUCUAGAGGACACACUAUCUGAUAAGAUCAGAGUUGACAGCGGCUUUUGAAAGCUACGAUUGCUGAUCAGGUUCUGAAGUCAUACGGAAAAUAGUUAUUAGACUUAUCCAAGUGGGAGACUGUUGGAUUAGUGUCUAAGUCCAUAACUAUUUUGGUAUGUACUUGACCCGAUUAUGAGCAUGGUCCUUUUGGGUUGCCUUCACCAUAGCAAUAUGUAGGAUGAAUUAAGGAGAGAGAGGUUUAAAUAUGAUUUAUUAAUAUAUUAUGAGAAUAAUAUAUUAAAGGAGAAAUCAUAUUGUUUAAUUAAUAUUAGUCAAGAAUUAAUUGAUAAUUAAUUUUGUGACUAAAAGAGAUUAAUUAAAUUUAGGGGACUGGACUGCAAUUAUUGGAUAAUUGAGUUAUUGGGCUAAGGAAUGCUAAAGGAACAAGGGGUGAACGAAAUUAUGAUGGAAGCCCAUCAUAUUUUCGUCCAUGGCCUUAUCCAGAAGGUUCCAUGGGCUGCUUAGAGUUUAAGCUGUCCAUUAGGGUUUUGACUGAAACCCUAGCAGCCCACACAAGUAUAUAAAGGACCCCUUAGGCCCCAAAAACGUGUGGAACUGAUUCUCUAGGGCUUCUAGCCGUUUUUGGGCAGCCUCCUUUCUUCUCCUCUUCAUCCAAGUUGUAUAUGGUGUUUGUGACUCCAUUAGAGGUGCAACACUUGAGGCACUAAGCUUUCUAAAGCUAAUCAAAGCAAGGAAGUGAUUGUUAUUGCAAUAUAACAAUCAAAGGUAAUUCUAUAAACCCUAAUUCAGUUUAUAAUAUGUUAGAUCUAAGUUUAUUAGUCUUGGAUUCAAAGCAUGUACAAUAGAGAAACAUAGAUCUAAGCAUUAGGGUUUGUAUGAGCACAUAGGAUUGUUUCUUAUGCAUAAAACUCAUCAUUUUCAAGUCUUCGGUGUGAGCCAU